GUGGGUGUAGCUCAGUGGCAAAAUACAGGCUUAGCAUGCUUGAGGUCCUGGGUUCAAUUCCCAGUAACUCCA
This 72-nucleotide transfer RNA is filed under the name Camelus bactrianus (Bactrian camel). It matches the Rfam family "tRNA". Rfam says of the family: Transfer RNA (tRNA) molecules are approximately 80 nucleotides in length. The record is from Rfam by way of RNAcentral. Lineage: Eukaryota; Metazoa; Chordata; Mammalia; Artiodactyla; Camelidae. RNAcentral also lists the same sequence under 2 other names.